Molecule: ribosomal RNA, 497 nt
Filed under: uncultured bacterium
Lineage: Bacteria
Description: partial 16S ribosomal RNA
Rfam family: Bacterial small subunit ribosomal RNA
Source: RNAcentral
GAUGAACGCUGGCGGCGUGCCUAAUACAUGCAAGUCGAGCGAACAGAUAAGGAGCUUGCUCCUUUGACGUUAGCGGCGGACGGGUGAGUUACACGUGGAUAACCUACCUAUAAGACUGGGAUAACUUCGGGAAACCGGAGCUAAUACCGGAUAACAUAUUGAACCGCAUGGUUCAAUAGUGAAAGGCGGCUUUGCUGUCACUUAUAGAUGGAUCCGCGCCGUAUUAGCUAGUUGGUAAGGUAACGGCUUACCAAGGCAACGAUGCGUAGCCGACCUGAGAGGGUGAUCGGCCACACUGGAACUGAGACACGGUCCAGACUCCUACGGGAGGCAGCAGUAGGGAAUCUUCCGCAAUGGGCGAAAGCCUGACGGAGCAACGCCGCGUGAGUGAUGAAGGUCUUCGGAUCGUAAAACUCUGUUAUCAGGGAAGAACAAAUGUGUAAGUAACUGUGCACAUCUUGACGGUACCUGAUCAGAAAGCCACGGCUAACUACGUG